GGGGAUUUAGCUCAGUUGUAGAGCGCUUGCCUAGCAAGCGAAAGGCCCUGGCUUCAGUCCCCA
This 63-nucleotide transfer RNA is filed under the name Rattus norvegicus (Norway rat). It matches the Rfam family "tRNA". Rfam says of the family: Transfer RNA (tRNA) molecules are approximately 80 nucleotides in length. Their secondary structure includes four short double-helical elements and three loops (D, anti-codon, and T loops). The record is from Rfam by way of RNAcentral. Lineage: Eukaryota; Metazoa; Chordata; Mammalia; Rodentia; Muridae.